CCUACGGGUGGCAGCAGUGGGGAAUAUUGCGCAAUGGGCGAAAGCCUGACGCAGCGACGCCGCGUGAGGGAUGAAGGUCUUCGGAUCGUAAACCUCUGUCAGCAGGGAAGAACGGUCACUGUGCUAAUCAGCCGUGAAUUGACGGUACCUGCAAAGGAAGCACCGGCUCACUCCGUGCUAGCAGCCGCGGUAAUACGGAGGGUGCGAGUGUUAAUCGGAAUUACUGGGCGUAAAGCGCUCGUAGGUGGUAUGUCAAGUCACUGGUGAAAUCCCAGGGCUCAACGUGGGAACUGCCGUUGAAACUGGCAGACUGGAGUGUGUGAGAGGAUAGUGGAAGUCCAGGUGUAGGAGUGAAAUCCGUAGAUAUCUGGAGGAACAUCAGUGGCGAAGGCGACUAUCUGGCACAUAACUGACGCUGAGGAGCGAAAGCGUGGGUAGCAAACAGGAUGAGAUACCCCAGUAGUC
This 465-nucleotide ribosomal RNA is filed under the name uncultured bacterium. Its description in RNAcentral is "partial 16S ribosomal RNA". It matches the Rfam family "Bacterial small subunit ribosomal RNA", at positions 338 to 795 of the family's 1533-position model. The record is from RNAcentral.